AGGUAGUCUGUACGAGCGCACCCUGUCGUGUGUUAUACGUGUCACACGAGACUGCCGGUGUCAAACCGGAGGAAGGCGGGGAUGACGUCAAGUCAGCAUGUCCUUCAUAUCCUGGGCUACACACACGCUACAAUGGUCGGGACAACAGGUUGCCAAGCCGCGAGGCGGAGCUAAUCCUCUAAACCCGAUCUCAGUUCGGAUUGUAGGCUGCAACUCGCCUGCAUGAAGCCGGAGUUGCUAGUAACCGCGCGUCAGCAACAGUGCGGUGAAUACGUUCCCGGGUCUUGUACACACCGCCCGUCAAGCUAGGAAAGCCGGAUAUACCUGAAGUCGUGUACCUAACCCGCAAGGGAAGGAAGCGCCUAAGGUAGAGUUGGCGAUUCGAGCUAAGUCGUAACAAGGUAGCCGUACCGGAAGGUGCGGCUGGAUCACCUCCUUUCU
This 441-nucleotide ribosomal RNA is filed under the name uncultured bacterium. Its description in RNAcentral is "bacterial SSU rRNA". It matches the Rfam family "Bacterial small subunit ribosomal RNA", at positions 1078 to 1533 of the family's 1533-position model. The record is from RNAcentral.